This 1443-nucleotide long non-coding RNA is filed under the name Equus caballus (horse). Its description in RNAcentral is "lncRNA (ENSECAG00000053202.1)". Lineage: Eukaryota; Metazoa; Chordata; Mammalia; Perissodactyla; Equidae. The record is from RNAcentral.
GGGGGGGGGGGGUGGUCUUUGAUGUUCUGAUUAAACUUCAGGCUUGGUAGGAACUGUGUCCCUGCAUCUCCACAGUGUAGACUACACAAGUGCCCUCUCGCAGCUGUAGUACUAGUAUGUGUCUAGUAUGUAUUCCUGCAACUUCCCCUAGGGACUGUGUGGGGUUUUGUUCUUGUUUGUUUGGUUUGGUUCCCCCGCCGCUGUUCUUUUCCCCAGCUGGUUUGGGUUUCACCCAAUGGUCUAAGGGCCCCAGCUACCAAUUUUUAUUGUUUUUCCCCUACAGAUCAAGGUUUGUUCUCUACAGGGAAGAUGGGGGAGACACUUCUCUGCAAAUUUCCACAGCAGCUGGUGUUUCCCUCCCCCACCACAAGGAAAGCUUCUUCCAGAUUUUCCUCAGUCUUCUCUGUGAGCACCUGAAAUAACUCCUGAAUAUGCCACCUGUGAGAUAUGAGAAGGCUACAGAGAAGAAAUCUUUUUACCCCAUUUCCAUCAGUUUGAUAUUAGCAUCAAAGCAAAGCUCUGUUCUGGAGGCUGGAAGUCCAGGAUCCAGGAAUUGGUUGAGCUGGUGUUUUCUGAGGCCUCUCUCCUUGACUUGCAGAUAGCCACCUAGCUGCAGGCUGCAUUUUCACAUGGUCAUCCCUCUGCAUGCACACGUGACUGGUGUCUGUGUGUGUGUUCAAAUUACCUCUUCUUAUAAAGAUAACGGUAAUAUUGGAUUAGAGCCCAUCCUAAUAAAAAAUCAACAAACAACUUUAUUUUAACUUAAUCACCUCUUUAAAGACCUUAUCUCCAAAUAUGGUUACAUUCUGAGCUACUGGGCGUUAGGACUUCAUUCAACACAUAAAUUUUAGGGGGACAGUUCAGCCCAUGACAGGGUUUAACAAAUGGAUUUUAGAUGUUAGGGAACUGAAAAGCCUGAUACAUUUGUUUAAUAGUAAAAAAAUAAAAUCAAGACAAAGGUAUAUAUUCCAAGUGUUAGAGCAGUCAAGAGUGAGAAGAGCUAUGAUGACAUUGAGAUUGGGAUUCAGAUCUAAUGUUUUUGUCAAAAUCCUAUCACUAAUUAGCAGGUUUGUGCUGACUAAUGUAAUGUUAAACAGAUUUUUAAAAAUGUAUAAGUGAAUGCCAUUAAAAGUGAUUUUGAAAAAUUUGGGGCAGUCUCUUAUCUGAGCACAGAUAUUUGUGUCUAUUAUCUGUUGGAAGAAAGUCUUAAUUAGGGAAGUUACUUACGUGUCUCCUUUGAGAUAGGCUGUUUACACCACUGAUAAUUGUUUUCAAAGUUUAUGAACCUAAUUUUUCCUAGUUUCCAAAGAUUUCUGGACAAUACAAUCAGUGGGUGCAAUUUUUUAAACACUAAGUGAAAUAGUGUUACUCUCAGGUUUUUUCCUUCUGACGUGGGGUAAUAAAGAUUUUCUUCUUUGAACUGUGUUUUACUUAUCCUUUUUC